Molecule: long non-coding RNA, 2798 nt
Organism: Pan troglodytes (chimpanzee)
Lineage: Eukaryota; Metazoa; Chordata; Mammalia; Primates; Hominidae
Source: Ensembl
GCUGAAUCCAUUUUGCAAGGGUACCUGGAUGAUUCAGGAUACAGUAUCCAGGACCUGAAGAGCUUUCAUUUGGUAGGACUUGGUGCAACCCUGUGUGCUAUAAACAUCACUGAAAUCCCACUUAUAAAGAUCUCAGAAUUCAGGGUGGUAGUGGCCAGAAUUGGGACCCUGCUCUGCAGCACACAUGUCUUAGCUGAGUUUAAGAGGAAGGCUGAAGUUGUGUUUGGGGAUCCCACUGAGUGGACCAGUUCUGUCUUGCAGGAGCUUGGGACCAUUGCAGGUAAGACUCACCCUGAGCAUACCUUUCUCUCCCUUUCCAAACUCAAAUGUGGGGACACAAAAUAAAACAUUAUCCUUGGCCAUGUGUAGCAAACAUCAGUGGCGUUACAGUAGAACCUACAUUUCAUGAUUUGAAGUUGCAGAGGGUGGGUCUGCAAAUCUGCUUUUAAAACAAGCUCUUUUGGAGAUUCUUGUGUACACUAAAGUUUGGAAAACCGCUAGUUUAGAAUGUGAUUUAAUUGGCCCCUAAGUAGGUUUAUACAAAAUUUGAAAGUGUGUAAAUUGAAGUUCCUUCUGGGCAUGCGUUUCACUGUAGGAGGCCAAUCAGGGCUAAUGUGACCCACAUUUUUUUUUUCUGAGUUGAUGAAGGAACUUGAUUCCCCAGUGUGAUUUCCAGGGCCUUUUGUAAGGAAUGAUGCCUGCCUAGAACACUCAGAUCUGAGCAUUAUGCAGCACCAUUAAUAAAACAAGCGGUUCUGAUGGCUUGAACUAAACCCCCGUGAUUCCUUUUUCUCCCCAGCUGGAUUAACUAAGGCAGAGCUCCGGAUGCUUGACAAGGAUUUGAUGCCAUAUUUCCAGCCAUCAGCAAUAAAAUGCCUUCCUGAUGAGAUAUUCAAAGUAGGUGCUCAGUUCUUCAAGGAGAAAUGGGAGCUUGACCCCAUUUCAAAUCACACAGGGAAACAGGUGAUGGGCCUUGGAAUUUAGAGGCUUGUGACCAGGCUCUGCUGAUGGGGUCAGAGGAGAUCUGUGUGAGUUUAGGUGUUUUUAAAAAACAUUUUUUCUUAAAAUUACAAUAUGUAGUUUAAUUAUAUUUAUUUUUAUGGUCAUCUUCUCUCUUCAUCUAGCAAGUGAUGAUUAUCUACUUUAAGAGUAUGGUGGUAUGACAGGUUCAUAAACCCUUACAAAAACCCCUGGGGACAGAUAUAGUUCAGAAAUCAGAAUUUCUCAGAUUUUGAAAAGAUCACCCUGUACAUUUACUGUAUGUAACUUCAUACCCCCAGCAGUGUCUGGGGAAGCACCUUGUAAGCAAACACACUAAUAUUUCUGUGAAGAAAUCUGUGACAAGCCACACUAAUUGGAAUAAAUAGAGACUAUAAAUAAAUAGCCUCACAUUACUUCAGGUCAAGUUUUGCCGAUAAAUAAGUUUGACUUAAACUUUGGGGGAAAACUUGCAGUUUUCAGAUUAUUUUUGGACUUUGGAAUUGCAGAUGAGGGAUUGUGGACCUCUGUAACAUUUCCUUUUAAGAUAUAAUUAAAUAAAAAUAUUUUAGUUGAUUUAGGUCAGGCAUGGUGGCUCACACCUGUAAUCCCAACAUUUUGGGAGGCUGAGACAGGCCAAUCACCUGAGGUCAGGAGUUUGAGACCAGACUGGCCAACAUGGUGAAACCCGGCCUCUAUGAAAAAUACAAAAUUAGCUGGGCGUGGUGGUGGAUGCCUGUAAUCCCAGUUACUUGGGAGGCUGAGGCAGGAGAAUCACUUGAACCCGGGAGACAGAGGUUGCAAUGAGCCAAGACCACACCAUUGCACUCCAGCCUGGGCAACAAGAGCGAAACAAUCUCUCUCUAUAUAUAUAUUUUUUCUAUAUAUAUAUAUAUAUUUUUAGUUGAUUUAAAGAAAAGUAUUAGGAAAAUCACAAGAAGACAGGUGAAAAACUGCUAUGAAAAAAUUGAGAGGGUGAAAUUGGAUCAUUUGAAGGAAGGGAAGCAGGGUAUCUAAUGACCUUGCAACCCUUUUUUCUGUCUGUAUACAAGAUUAGGGGAGUGUUUGGUGAGAAUAGUCUGCUCUGAUGAGGAGGCAGUGAUUCUGGUGUUCCUGUUUGCUGCGUAAUGUGGGAACACAUUUUGUCCAGCACUUCUGGAUAAAACACACAAACCAGGCUCGACAAACUCCCCCAGUGCCACAUCACUUGUUCAUUUCAAGAAAGAUAGCCGAGGCCGGGUGCAGUGGCUCACACCCGUAAUCCCAGCACUUUGGGAGGUUGAGGAGGGUGGAUCACAAGGUCAGGAGAUUGAGACCAUCGUGGCUAACAUGGUGAAACCCUGUCUCUACUAAAAAUACAAAAAAAUUAGCUGGGGUGGUCACGUGUGCCUGUAGUCCCAGCUACUCGGAAGGCUGAGGCAGGAGAAUGGCGUGAACCCGGGGGGCGGAGCUUGCAGUGAGCCAAGAUCGCUCCACUACACGCUAGCCUGGGCGACAGAGCGAGACUCUGUCUCAAAAAAAAAAAAAGAAAGCCGACCUUCAAUCACUUCAGCAUCCUGGACAGUUCCGAGCACAUUGCAGGCAUAAUAGCUGUUUGAGGGCAAUAAAUAGCAGUCCUCAAAGCCAUUGAGCAAAUACCUACUUCCCCUCUGGGGCACUCUGCAUGGGACAAGCAGCUUGGUCUUGGAUGCUGGCAUUUUGCUAAGCACUUUCUCUUGGUCUUGUUUGGAGUGCUGUUGUGCUGCUUCCUUGUACAGGUAUUUAUCUAUUCCAGAAAUCCCUACUGAUCACCUACAUUGUGGCAGGCUCCAGGGUAGGUG